UGGGGAAUUUUGGACAAUGGGCGCAAGCCUGAUCCAGCCAUGCCGCGUGCGGGAAGAAGGCCUUCGGGUUGUAAACCGCUUUUGUCAGGGAAGAAAUCUUCUGAGUUAAUACCUCGGGAGGAUGACGGUACCUGAAGAAUAAGCACCGGCUAACUACGUGCCAGCAGCCGCGGUAAUACGUAGGGUGCAAGCGUUAAUCGGAAUUACUGGGCGUAAAGCGUGCGCAGGCGGUUUUGUAAGACAGAGGUGAAAUCCCCGGGCUCAACCUGGGAACUGCCUUUGUGACUGCAAGGCUUGAGUGCGGCAGAGGGGGGAUGGGAUUCCGCGUGUAGCAGUGAAAUGCGUAGAUAUGCGGAGGAACACCGAUGGCGAAGGCAAUCCCCUGGGCCUGCACUGACGCUCAUGCACGAAAGCGUGGGGAGCAAACAGGAUUAGAUACCCUGGUAGUCCACGCCCUAAACGAUGUCAACUGGUUGUUGGGAAGGUUCCUUCUCAGUAACGUAGCUAACGCGUGAAGUUGACCGCCUGGGGAGUACGGCCGCAAGGUUGAAACUUAAAUGAAUUGACGGGGU
This 572-nucleotide ribosomal RNA is filed under the name uncultured bacterium. RNAcentral describes it as "partial 16S ribosomal RNA". It matches the Rfam family "Bacterial small subunit ribosomal RNA", at positions 355 to 919 of the family's 1533-position model. The record is from RNAcentral.